CCUACGGGAGGCAGCAGUAGGGAAUAUUGCUCAAUGGGGGAAACCCUGAAGCAGCAACGCCGCGUGGAGGAUGAAGGUUUUCGGAUUGUAAACUCCUUUUGUUAGAGAAGAUAAUGACGGUAUCUAACGAAUAAGCACCGGCUAACUCCGUGCCAGCAGCCGCGGUAAUACGGAGGGUGCAAGCGUUACUCGGAAUCACUGGGCGUAAAGAGCGCGUAGGCGGGAUAGCAAGUCAGAUGUGAAAUCCUAUGGCUUAACCAUAGAACUGCAUUUGAAACUGUUAUUCUAGAGUAUUGGAGAGGUAGGUGGAAUUCUUGGUGUAUGGGUAAAAUCCUUAGAGCUCACGAGGAAUCCUCUUUGCGACAGCGACCUGCUAGAACAUAACUGACGCUGAUGCGCGAAAGCGUGGGGAGCAAACAGGAUUAGAUACCCUUGUAGUC
This 440-nucleotide ribosomal RNA is filed under the name uncultured bacterium. Its description in RNAcentral is "partial 16S ribosomal RNA". It matches the Rfam family "Bacterial small subunit ribosomal RNA", at positions 338 to 795 of the family's 1533-position model. The record is from RNAcentral.